UUCUAAUAGAAAUAAUUAUUAGUAUAAUCUGCUCAAUGAAAUUUCUAUAGCCGCAAUUUAUUGUGCUAAGGUAGCAUAAUCAUUUGUCUUUUAAUUAAAGACUAGAACGAAAGAUAUUACAAUUAAAUUUCUUUUUUUAAUAAAAAUUUUUAAAUUAUAUUAAACAUAAAAAUAUGUUUAUCAUAUAAAUAGACGAUAAGACCCUAUUGAACUUAACUUUAGUUUUACUGGGGUAGUAAAUUAAAUAUUAUUUUAAUAUAAAUAUUUACACAAGUAUCCAAUAAAAUUGAUAUAAACAAGUUACCAUAGGGAUAACAGCGCAAUAAAUUUCUAAAGAUCUUAUUUAAAAAUUUGAUUACGACCUCGAUGUUGAAUAUUUAUUCUUAUUCACGCAAUCGUGAAAUCAAAGAAAGUCUGUUCGACUUUUAAUUAACUACA
RNAcentral lists this ribosomal RNA (438 nucleotides) under Calymmaria sp. CG231. RNAcentral's name for it is "partial 16S ribosomal RNA". Lineage: Eukaryota; Metazoa; Arthropoda; Arachnida; Araneae; Hahniidae. The record is from RNAcentral.